This is a non-coding RNA of Aethalodelphis obliquidens (Pacific white-sided dolphin), 1241 nucleotides long. Lineage: Eukaryota; Metazoa; Chordata; Mammalia; Artiodactyla; Delphinidae. The record is from the annotation of a RefSeq genome assembly.
UGUAUUCUUAUCACCCAUAAUUGUUUAUAUUAUACUUGCUUUGUCAUUGUUAUUUUUUUUAAUGCAAAGAAAAAUUAUAGAGUUUGCCACUGUUGCAAAUAAAACUCUGCCACUUCUGCCCACUAUUCCAGGUCCCCAUUCUUCUCUCCAAGAUUAGGUCUUAGCAGAAUAAAUUUGCCAGCUCCCUCUUCUUUCUAUUUUCAGCCUACAAGUUAAAAAAACUCAGAAAACGAUUUUCACUUUCAUCUGAAAUUACAACCAAUAGCCUAGUUCCUGAAGCGAGACCAAAAAGUAUUGGGAAAACUUUCGUCAGUGAGACAGUCACCCAUCACCUGUCAUACCAUUUCCUGCUCUGAAGCUCAAGGGCCGCGGAGCACAGAGGGGAACCCAGAUCAGAGCAGGAAACUUCUCAGCCUGCAGGGGAGAGCUGUAAGCAUGAUAUUUGUUAGCUUGCUGCGGGCAGUCCUGGUCUCCACCUGUCUGGGAUCCAGUGUGGCCCAAAUGGUCACUCAACCUCAACCAGAAGUGUCUGUGCAAGAGGCAGACACAGUGACCCUGGACUGUACGUAUAGCACUAGUGACAGUAAUUAUUAUUUGUUGUGGUACAAACAGCCUCCCAGCGGGGAGAUGAUUUUCAUUAUUGGCCAAGAAGCUUAUAAGCAACAGAAUGCAACCAACAGUCGCUACUCUGUGAACUUCCAGAAAGAAGCCAAAUCCUUCCGUCUCAGGAUCUCAGACUCCCAGCUGGAGGAUGCUGCAAAGUAUUUCUGCGCUUACAGUGGUCCACAGUGAGACGAGCAGCAGAGAGAGGCUUACAGAAACCUCAAACCUCAGCAUCUGUGCAGAGGUCAGGGGAAGUGGUCGGGGUAAGAGGAAUAUAGAAAGUCAUUGACUUCUCCUUGGAAUAAAACCUCCUCCUAUCUGAAUAUAAGAGACACAGAGAGAUGAAUGUCUAUGACUUGUAGUCCUUAACUUAACAGUAAAAAUGACACGUGUAGUGCUUUCCAGUUUUACAAGUUGUCUUCAUACUUGCUAUCAUCUGUAACCCUCAUAGCUUCAUAUGGUAUAUGUGACAGGUCAGACUUCUGAAGCAUUUCCUCUGUCCACCAGAUCUUUAUAAUUUUCCUGGGAGCUCUUACCUCCAAGAAUCUUAAUCUUUUCCAUUUUGUUCAUAGGUGCUUGUUCUUUUAAUUUGUCCAUCCAUGUCCAAAACCGAAUCUCCUCAGAAAAAGGUACCCAUU